GGUAGACGAAAUGCGCGCGUGGCGAACACAGUUUUUAUCCCGGCAUCUAUGAUGAUUUAUUUGGCUUAAAUCUGUAUAUUUUGAUAUUAAGGAUCAUUUCUGAAGAUAAGGCUAUUUACACAAAACACAACACAAACAAAAAGAUUAUGCAACAAGAACCCUUAAUUCAAAUAAUUAAGAAAUAUCUGAAAACUGUUCAAUAUAUUAUAUUUCAGAUUCAUGUCUAACAUCUAAGUGCAUUUGUUAUGUUUUUUUUUUUGGGGGGGGAGGCUAGAUCACAUUUGUUUCUUUUUCUGAAUUCAAGGGGAAAUCUUUAUCAUGUUGCUGGCU
This 330-nucleotide long non-coding RNA is filed under the name Mytilus galloprovincialis (Mediterranean mussel). The record is from RNAcentral. Lineage: Eukaryota; Metazoa; Mollusca; Bivalvia; Mytilida; Mytilidae.